Molecule: unclassified non-coding RNA, 343 nt
Filed under: soil metagenome
Description: partial contains 5.8S ribosomal RNA, internal transcribed spacer 2, and large subunit ribosomal RNA
Rfam family: 5.8S ribosomal RNA (bases 1-120)
Source: RNAcentral
GAUGAAGAACGUAGCGAAAUGCGAUAAUUAAUGUGAAUUGCAGAAUUCCGUGAAUCAUCGAAUCUUUGAACGCACAUUGCGCCCGCCAGCAUUCUGGCGGGCAUGCCUGUUCGAGCGUCAUUUCAACCCUCGACCUCCCCUUGGGGAGGUCGGCGUUGGGGACCGGCAGCACACCGCCGGCCCUGAAAUGGAGUGGCGGCCCGUCUGCGGCGACCUCUGCGUAGUAAUACAGCUCGCACCGGAACCCCGACGCGGCCACGCCGUAAAACACCCAACUUCUGAACGUUGACCUCGAAUCAGGUAGGACUACCCGCUGAACUUAAGCAUAUCAAUAAGCGGAGGA